CGCUCCGUCUCGGGGUGCUCUGCGCGUGCCGCGGCGGAUUGCGAGGCACGCCAGGGCUGAGAGAGUCCCGCACCACCUGAACGCGGUAAUGCGCGCGUAGGGAAGACGGAAGCCUAUCCC
RNAcentral lists this non-coding RNA (120 nucleotides) under Gonium pectorale. RNAcentral's name for it is "TPP sequence". It matches the Rfam family "TPP riboswitch aptamer (THI element)". From Rfam's summary of the family: Vitamin B(1) in its active form thiamin pyrophosphate (TPP) is an essential coenzyme that is synthesised by coupling of pyrimidine and thiazole moieties in bacteria. The previously detected thiamin-regulatory element, thi box was extended, resulting in a new, highly conserved RNA secondary structure, the THI element, which is widely distributed in eubacteria and also occurs in some archaea. Analysis of operon structures identified a large number of new candidate thiamin-regulated genes, mostly transporters, in various prokaryotic organisms. The record is from Rfam by way of RNAcentral. Lineage: Eukaryota; Viridiplantae; Chlorophyta; Chlorophyceae; Chlamydomonadales; Volvocaceae.